AGGUGCUCUGUGAAAGAGAGGGAUUCGAGGUAAACACGUCCCGCUCUGCCCUGCCCACCCCCCACCCCCAGCGGCCUCUCCCUGCCCCUCGCCCUCCCUUCAGCCCCUGGCCGCUUCUGCCCCUCGUGUGAGGCCUCAGCUCUAGAACAGCGCCAGCCCUCGGAAGCAGGACGCGCUCACCGAGCCGGGCCUACCGAGAAGACACGGACGAGGCUAUGGGGGCAGCCGGGCCCCACCUGACCGUGGCCAAGUCACCCUACUUGCCGGACCUGUUACCUCAUCUGAAGGAGAGGGGAGUCCGCGCACUCUUCACCAGCACCCUUCCAGCGGGGAUGGGGUUCUCGCCUCUGUCUUCCGCCAUCCUCGGGGCCAUCCUAUCGACCCUUCGCCCCUCCAAAGCUCCACAAACAUCCCCUCGACACAUAAACCAAAAUGAAAAGCUACAAAGGACGCUGCUUAUAACAAGGUUUUAAUAAAAUAAAAAGUUCAAGUGC
This is a long non-coding RNA of Panthera uncia (snow leopard), 494 nucleotides long. RefSeq lists it as uncharacterized. The record is from RefSeq and is a predicted model, not a curated record. The transcript has 2 exons. NCBI's taxonomy places the organism in Eukaryota, Metazoa, Chordata, Mammalia, Carnivora, Felidae.